RNAcentral lists this long non-coding RNA (302 nucleotides) under Elaeis guineensis (African oil palm). RNAcentral describes it as "long non-coding RNA (EGUI_LNC004663)". Lineage: Eukaryota; Viridiplantae; Streptophyta; Magnoliopsida; Arecales; Arecaceae. The record is from RNAcentral.
UGCUACAGCCAACAUACACCUCAGAGUUUCGAAUGGCUAGAAGAUCGAGUUAUGGUAUAGUCAAACUAUAACACAUUCAAAGUGAACUGUUGAUGUACCUCAGGUCAAAGAACUAGACACACAGCUGCAGCAUCGAGCUAGCCAUCAAUAAGAAGGUAGAUUUUCUUAUAUCUGCUUGAGGAGGUCACGCUCAGUACUCUCAUUCUUAACGAAUACCUGUACUCUCGCUCUGGUAUCUCCACACUGUAGACUCAAGAUACAUCUAUCCUAAGAAAGUGAUCGUACACCAACCUUCCGGAUCG